RNAcentral lists this ribosomal RNA (801 nucleotides) under uncultured Bacillota bacterium. RNAcentral's name for it is "bacterial SSU rRNA". It matches the Rfam family "Bacterial small subunit ribosomal RNA", at positions 73 to 889 of the family's 1533-position model. The record is from RNAcentral. Lineage: Bacteria; Bacillati; Bacillota.
GCUCCCUUCGGGGAGUGCAUAAAGUGGCGCACGGGUGAGUAACACGUAAGUAAUCUACCCUCGAGUGGGGAAUAACAUCGGGAAACCGAUGCUAAUACCGCAUAAUGCAGCGGCGCCGCAAGGUGACAGUUGUUAAAGAUUUAUUGCUUGAGGAGGAGCUUGCGGCAGAUUAGCUAGUUGGUAAGGUAAUGGCUUACCAAGGCAACGAUCUGUAGCCGGUCUAAGAGGACGGUCGGUCACACUGACACUGAAUAACGGGUCAGACUCCUACGGGAGGCAGCAGUCGGGAAUUUUGGGCAAUGGGCGAAAGCCUGACCCAGCAACGCCGCGUGAAGGAUGAAGUAUUUCGGUAUGUAAACUUCGUAAGAAUGGGAAGAAUAAAUGACGGUACCAUUUGUAAGCCCCGGCUAACUACGUGCCAGCAGCCGCGGUAAUACGUAGGGGGCAAGCGUUGUUCGGAUUUACUGGGCGUAAAGGGCGCGUAGGCGGCGUGACAAGUCACUUGUGAAAUCUCCGGGCUUAACUCGGAACUGCCAAGUGAUACUGUCGUGCUAGAGUGCAGAAAGGGCAAUCGGAAUUCUUGGUGUAGCGGUGAAAUGCGUAGAUAUCAAGAGGAACACCUGAGGCGAAGGCGGGUUGCUAGGCUGACACUGACGCUGAGGCGCGAAAGCUAGGGUAGCAAACGGGAUUAGAUACCCCGGUAGUCCUAGCCCUAAACGAUGAAUACUUGGUGUCUGGAGUUUUUAUCCUCCGGGUGCCGUCGCUAACGUUUUAAGUAUUCCGCCUGGGGAGUACGCUCGC